RNAcentral lists this ribosomal RNA (253 nucleotides) under uncultured bacterium. Its description in RNAcentral is "partial 16S ribosomal RNA". It matches the Rfam family "Bacterial small subunit ribosomal RNA", at positions 524 to 776 of the family's 1533-position model. The record is from RNAcentral.
UACGUAGGGUGCGAGCGUUGUCCGGAAUUACUGGGCGUAAAGAGCUUGUAGGUGGUUUGUCGCGUUGUUCGUGAAAUCUCACGGCUCAACUGUGAGCGUGCGGGCGAUACGGGCAGACUAGAGUACUGCAGGGGAGACUGGAAUUCCUGGUGUAGCGGUGGAAUGCGCAGAUAUCAGGAGGAACACCGGUGGCGAAGGCGGGUCUCUGGUCUGUAACUGACGCUGAGGCGCGAAAGCGUGGGGAGCAAACAGG